This 1008-nucleotide ribosomal RNA is filed under the name Triticum aestivum (bread wheat). RNAcentral describes it as "partial small subunit ribosomal RNA". Lineage: Eukaryota; Viridiplantae; Streptophyta; Magnoliopsida; Poales; Poaceae. The record is from RNAcentral.
AUGGGGUUCAGGGGUCUCCAUGCUUUUAACUUAGCAAUGUUGGCUAAACAGAGUUGGAGGAUGAUUUCUCAUCCUGAAACGUUAAGUGCCCAAGUGUUGAGAGCAAAAUAUUUCCCAAACGGGAAUAUACUCAAGGUAGGACCGAAGAGAGGUUCUUCUUACACAUGGCAAAGCAUCUGGGGACUGCAAACAUUUAAAAGAGGACACGUAUGGAGGGUUGGAUCAUGUGAGAAAUUCGGUAUAUGGGAUGGUCAUUGGAUUCCCUCGAGUACCACAAGGAUGGUGUUUGCAAGAAGAGGCAAAUCGUUGUUAAGAACAGUAAAUGAAUUGAUGAUCCCAGACACGAGGAUAUGGGAUGAAGAACUGAUCAGAAGCAUAUUUUUCCCGAUGGAUGCAGAGAACAUAUUGCGAAUCCCAUUAUCAGAACACCUUAUGGAUGAUUUUGUUGACUGGAACAAAACCAAGUCAUUUUCCUUCUCUGUACGCUCAACAUAUUAUACAGAAUGGGAACAUCAAUUUGGGAUGAGGAUCUACAGCAACCAAGGUUCAGUUUCAGUUCAUCCGCUGUGGGAUAUAGUCUGGAAGCUAGAGGUCCCUAGCAAAAUCAAAAUAUUCAUUUGGCGGGCACUUCAUGGCCUCAUUCCGGGUAUGGCCGUACUUGCUGGUAGAUACAUAAAGGUCUCGCUGGUCUGCCCAGUAUGUCAAACAGGUCUUGAGGAUAUUAAGCAUUUGUUGUUUACCUGCCCACGCGCCUCCCAGGUUUGGCGUGCUCUUGGACUGGAUGAAAUCAUAGAACAAGCAGUGCAGGUUGAUUGUUCUGGCUCAGUUGUGCUGGAGGACAUUCUCAGGAGGCCGAUAGGUCCCUCUCCGGUUCUUGGUCAGCUGGGACUACACGAAACAGUAGCAGUGGCAUCAUGGUACAUUUGGUGGGAGCGUCGUCAGGCACAAAAAGGGGAAACAGUGAAAACUCCAAAAAGUACAGCUUGCUAUGCAUGCGAUUACGACUAA